Molecule: ribosomal RNA, 432 nt
Filed under: uncultured bacterium
Lineage: Bacteria
Description: partial 16S ribosomal RNA
Rfam family: Bacterial small subunit ribosomal RNA
Source: RNAcentral
AACGAACGCUGGCGGCAUGCCUAACACAUGCAAGUCGAACGAGACCUUCGGGUCUAGUGGCGCACGGGUGCGUAACGCGUGGGAACCUGCCCUUAGGUUCGGAAUAACUCCCCGAAAGGGGUGCUAAUACCGGAUAAUGUCUUCGGACCAAAGAUUUAUCGCCUUUGGAUGGGCCCGCGUUGGAUUAGCUAGUUGGUAGGGUAAAAGCCUACCAAGGCGACGACCCAUAGCUGGUCUGAGAGGAUGAUCAGCCACACUGGGACUGAGACACGGCCCAGACUCCUACGGGAGGCAGCAGUGGGGAAUAUUGGACAAUGGGCGAAAGCCUGAUCCAGCAAUGCCGCGUGAGUGAUGAAGGCCUUAGGGUUGUAAAGCUCUUUUACCCGGGAUGAUAAUGACAGUACCGGGAGAAUAAGCUCCGGCUAACUCCGU